CUUGGAUUCCUCCUUGGAAUACUGAACACUUACUUCCCUUUGCAUUAAAAUCAAAACUACUAAAAAGAAAAAGAUGACUGCGCCAAGCUUCCAGAACUUUUUAUGACCUUUGUGUAGGUCUGGGAAAGCGUUUGCGGAGCAGCGACGUAGGCUGGAAGGACACACACAGCCUUACUGCCCAAGUCAAGUCCUGGAAGAAGGAUGGAGUUGGGGAGGUCAACUCUAGGAAAGCUGUUCCCUGUAUUACAGCUACCACUGGAGAAAGCCAUGGAAGGAGCUGCGCGAUGGGUAUGUUCAUUAAGAGCCCUGAAGCCAGGAAGGGAAGGCCCCGUUACGCUCAGUGUCCUUGAAGCCCUUUGCUGACAGGGCUGAACACUGCCCCAGUUGGCACAACAGGGGAAAUACUUAGGCGGUUCUGCUCCAAUCCUGCAGAGCAGGCUCAUAACUGAAGCACACAAAUAGCACACUGGGAAGCGGUGAAGGCUAUCCUUUGGGCUAUUCUGGGGUUGAUGGUGUUCUCUGCAGGUGAGGAACACAGCAGCAGUUCUGGCCAGGCCUCCACUUCGACACACCAGGCCCACUCCGGUAGCUGGGGAGGGGGGUUCUGGCUGAGGUCCAUGGUCCACGGGAUGUGUUACUUUCUCCAUUUGAUCAUUAAAAGCUUUCUCUUGAAGUCAAAAUCCUUCGGUAUAUUUAGAUGAGAUAAACCUCUUCAGGGUCUGCCCCUUCUGAAAGGCUUACACACAUAUCCUCAAAUUCCAGCAUCGCCAGUUUUCAAGGCUCAAGGCUUUCAAGGCUCUGGCCAUACAACCACUGUAACUUCCAUUCAACCAAUAAAGAUUUGUACCUCUGGCUACCUCUCAUUCUAACCACAGUGGAAAAACACAAUUUCUACCUAUAAGAAGAAUUUCCUUUGGGGGGAGGGCAUCUUUUACAACUAACAAUGGGCAGGGCUAAAUUCUACAGGUGCUAUCAGGUAACUGUGCAAACUCAUCUGUCAAUCAGGUUUGAGUGUUCUUAUCAUUUGGACUAAGGAAAGUCCACCCAAGACGUCAUAGAUAUGAGCUGGAAGGAAAAAAGUGUUAUGGUUUGGGAAAGUGUCACCCAAAGAGCCAUGUGUUAAUGGCUUGCCUGCCCUCACCCCCACUCAGAGGAGGGAGCACGUGAAGAAGUGAAGCCUAAUGUGAGCGCAAUUCCAUCUGUCACCUGACCCCGGUAAGCUGCUAAUUUGAUAUUUUCAGUUUCUAGGAACUGAUGCAGAAGUCUGAGUACUUCCUUUUCUCCGAAGAAUACUCUCUAGUAAAUGGCUGUGGGUCCGGCUGGGGAAGGGUUCUGGAUCUGUGAAUUGACAUAGGUUUGGAAAAUAAUUGAGACUAAAGCUCUUAGUUCUGACAAUUAAACGUUGCUUAUCUGUUUCAUUCAUUAUAGUGACCACUAGGGAUCUGCCAAGAACAUCUCAGCUACCAAAAGUGAUACAGAAGGCAAGGCUUGCUGAUGAUUCUAUAGCCCUACCUUCCAUUAGGGAAGAUCUAUCUACUCUGUCUUUGGUGGCUAAUGCUGGCUGCCUCUUUGCUUCAGUUGCUAUAGGAUCCCAUUAACUCCACUGACACCAGGACGCUCAUCUCAAAAGGCCUAAAGAGAGCAACCAACAGGCUGCUUUUUCAAAGGUGCAAAGGCCCCACUCAGAGAUGGAGUUCACAACACCUAGGGAAGGAAUGCUGACUGACCCUAUGGAAUGGAGCUGGAGGGGGAGUGUCCAAGACGCACUUGGGAGGCUGUGAGAGUCGAUGAGUUGAGGAUGCUGCUGCUUGGUGGAAGAAACUUGCUGAUGGACUCUCUGUCCUCAUAAGGAACACGGCGUCAGACAACGACAACAAGAGAAAGGCCUGUUGCAUGCUACCUUUGAAAACGAUGCCCGUCAUGAAAAGACUAAUGACAAAAAUAGAUCAUGAAAAAUAUGUGUGAAGGUAAUAAUGGUUUUCCUACUGAGGUCUCUUAAUUUUCCUAAUUCCACAAACCAUUACUCAGGAAGAUACAUUAUACAAAAUAAUAGAGGGAAUAAACAGGAAGGGUCACAUCAGCUAAAAAAAAAAAAAUAUCAUAGCAAAACCAGAGGACAAGAUAGAGGGAGCCAAUCAAUCAUCUGAUGUUUCGAUUAUGUAAAACUAAGGAGAUCUUGGAAUACAAAGAAGUCAGACUCCAACUAAUAUACGGAAAACUUAGGCAGGUUGUUUUUCUUAAAUUAACUAACAAAGUGUUAAAAAGCAACCUCCAAGCUAGCCAUGGGACACAUGCUGGUAGCCUCAACUAUUUGGAGGCUGAAGGGUAACUUACAUCAGAAGCGUUUGAGACCAACCUGGUCUAUUAUAGACCAAACCUGACUCUAUAUCAGAUAAAAGAAAAACUACAAAUCAAGACUAAUGCCUAGCUGAGUGUAGUGGUACCCAUUUGCAAUCAGAACACUCCAGCCUGAGGCAAGAGAAUAUUGAGAAUGCCCUGGACUACACAGAGAACGCUAGGCCAAGCUGGGCUUAUACAUGAAAGUGUGCUUCAAACGCCAAACCAAAUAACCUCAAUAGGCUUGCUUGGAUUUGUAGCGAACAAUAUCUACAUAUUCAUAACAAAUAAAUAUGAAAAUGCAAACAAAGAAUGAGACUUCCAUGCUGAGGAAGGAGUAGCAGAGGUGUAUGUGUGAGUGAAAGAGAUAAAUAUUUGUCCGCUAUAAUGAGAAGUCAGCAGACAACGCCAAACACCGACAUGAGAAACAGAACCAGAAGCGUAUUAUUCCAGAGGAGAACACUGCGUGAGGCAGCUAACGAGAGAGUGGACCAGUGACUGGAGAGUUCUAGUUACAGCUGUUACAGUAGUCCCACUUAGCUUUAUUCACACAUAAGGUGGAUGGAAGUACUGAUUUAUAAUCAGACUUAAACGGCUCUGUUAUCUGAGAUGUCAAGAACCUACUAGGUGGAAGUGAGUGAACUAAUCUCUCGUUUUAAUUUUCCUUUUCUCUAUAAAAAGGGAGAAAACCAGGAUAUACUUCACAAGUUGCUGUGAAAAUUUAAUGAGUUACAUGCAAAUUACUUAAAAUGUAUUGGACAAAUGAGCAGCAGUGAACAAGGAUCAAUCAUUACUAAGGUGAUAAAUACGAAUUAUUACAUGAUAAAAACACAUUAGUUAUUAGUGACUGAAAACAUGGUUUAACCUGCGGGGUAAAUAUUAAAGUUGGCCACCCUCUUCUGGGAGGAAAUUCAUUUUAAAGGUUAAUACAUACCUGAGUACCAAGUAGCUGGUUAUUUCUUUAGGCUAAAGUUUAGUGUGUGGUUGGAAGUAAGGGUAGUGGAGAGAGUACAAAUUCCAGAGAGAGAGAGAGAGAGAGAGAGAGAGAGAGAGAGAGAGAGAGAGAGAGAGAGAGAGAGAGAGAGAGAGAAGUCCCAGCUAUAGUUAGAGGUGAAAACGAAGGAGGUCAGAUCGGAACAUGAAGGUUGAGUAUUAGCCCUAGCCCUACAGGCCCAAAGGUAGGGAGGUGCCUAUUACAGGCAGAAAGAAUGGCACUUGGCAAUGACCUGCAGGCAAGAAGAACCUGGCAGUGAAAGAGGCUGCCAGAGCUCAGGCAGGAGGGGUGUGGGGCAGCAGCAGCUGAGUCAUGCCCAGGCUUUAGGCCACAUUAAAGGGUUUGUCUUACCCUAAGGGCGUGGAAGGGCUUUGAGAAGGGGUCACUGUGGCCAAGUAUUUUGAAAACUCUCAUUCUGGAUGCAGUGUGAAGAACAAACCAGAAAGACAUCAGAAGUAGUUGAGAAAGCCUAGCCAUCACAAAAGUCUAGCAGAGAGAUGGUGGUCUUAAUGGGCCUAGAGAAAAAUGCAUAGAUUUGGGAGAUGCUUAUUUAAGAGAUAAAAUUAAGAGAGUUUGGCCAUUGUAAGAAAUUUGAAAGGAAACAGCUAAUAUCAAGGACUCUUUCUCUAUUUUCUGUCUGCACCCCCACGUUUGUUUUAGUCUAACCACAAGUAAAACCUGCCCUCUUAUACUCACUUUCUCACCAGGACUAACGUCCUCAAUUGGGGAGUAUUUACAAACAAAGGCUGCAGAGUCUUUCAACCACAAACCACAUUUCUCAUUUCUGAAAAAUGAAUCUUCAUAAAACACAAAAAAAUCCUCAAAAUAACAGAAUUCAAAGGAAUGAGAUGAGCAUAAUAGCAGUCUAUGUUCAACAGGCAAGUUUAAUGGACCGCUUCUCCCAUGUCCUUGGUCAUUUCCUAAGGCUUCCCUUCUGCUCCAAGGGUACUAGGACUAAAUGUGUACAGCAUCACAGCUGGCAGCUCUUGUAUACUGAUGCCAAUACAUAUUGAAUUAGAUUUCUAUAUAUGUAUUUUGGAGGGACACAAAUACUCAGAUGAUAAUUACUGUAGAGGCUGAUAAGGUUGAAAAUAACCUAUGUAUCUGUGGCCCGGACUCUCAGACAGUACUAUAGAUUCAGAGUCUGUUCCCCCCAAUCUCUUGAGCCAGAUGUGUUUCAAAAUUCAGAAUGUUUUGGGAUGUUAGGAUAGUGACACGGGUCAUACACCUAAUGUAAUGCUGUUCCUCAUGGGGCCUAGGCAGUAUUAUCUAAUAAAAAAUGUCAGCACUAUUUCUGUAGCAAGACACAGUCUGCCAGUGGUAUAAAAGGUGGUUUCCUGACAGUUCACUCGCUCAAAUUUUGUUAACAAAUGAUUCACACAAAUUUUUUGUGGGUAAGACAUGAUAAGAUUUCUAACAUCUAUAGAUGAACUACAGAGAGUGAAACUUUUUUUUUUUUUUUUGCCUUGAGAUGUGAUGAAGGUCCUGGUUUACACAUGGGUAAUCUCCAGUUAUUAUGACGGUAAGUUAAAGACACCCAGCAGGCAAUCAUACAGAUGAGAAAAUUCGUUUACAUAGUUUGAAAUUCAAACACGUAUAGGGAAAAGGUUACAGAAUUAUAAGUCCAAUUCAGAGAAUGACUCAAGGCUUUUGUCGAGUGGUCAGUAGCCACUAACGACCCAGAAUUCUGAGUCUUACUUGCCUAUGUUUUACCAUAAAUAAUGGUCUCCAGCCAUUGCAGGAACUGAUUAAAUUCAAUGCUGUCACUGACAAUACGUUAAUUAUGUUAAAAUUACCCGUUAUAUAGUACUAAUUAUCCUGUAUUUUAUUAUAUUUUAAUAAAAAAUGUAAAAUACAACAAUAUUUUCUUCAGGAGAAAAGUUCCUUCCACCAAGAAUGUGAAGGUGGGUUAAAGUUAAAAGUGUCUUUGAAAGCAUUAAUUAUUCCCCAUCAACCAGAUGCAUAAUUGGAUAGGUAACAGAAAAUACUCCUUUCUUCUUGAUCAGCUUUUAGACUAAUAAUUGAUCUGCUUAUUCCAAAUGUAUUACUAUACUUUAUGGACCAGAGAACUGAAUGUAUCUGAAUGAUUUUGGUAUUGGCCAUUCCCAAAAUGUAAAAUACAACAAUAUUUUCUUCAGGAGAAAAGUUCCUUCCACCAAGAAUGUGAAGGUGGGUUAAAGUUAAAAGUGUCUUUGAAAGCAUUAAUUAUUCCCAAUCAGACUUCCCAAGAUUAGGGAUCUAAUCUAUUUUUUAUUUUUUUAAAUAUGAGGUCUCAGCUAUGUAGCUCUGGCUGGUCAGGAACUCACUAUGUAGCCUAGAUUGGCCUCAAACAUACCUCUGCCUCCUGAGUGCUACAUUCAAAGGUGUAUACAACACCCCCAGUCUUAACCUCAUUAAUUGAUUUAUUUCGAUGUAUUUGCUUAUUUUUAUGUGUGUAGACGUUUUGCCUGAGUGUAUGUGUGCACCACAUGUGUACGGUCCCCUCAGAGGCCAGGAGAGGGCGUGAAAUCCCGUGUAAUUGGUGUAAGUUUGUUGUGAGCAGCCACAUGGGUGCUAGGAACCGAAGGUUUUACUGAGGAGCAGACCAUGCUCUUCCCCGCUGAGCCGUACCUCCAGCCCUUUAGUCUAAUUUCUGAAUCUAGUCUUUUAUGGAGGAGAGGAAGUGAUUUCUUGUAAUUCAUCUCUGAUACCUGUUUCAGAAUAAAGGUUAAAACAUUAAC
Molecule: long non-coding RNA, 6051 nt
Organism: Peromyscus californicus insignis
Lineage: Eukaryota; Metazoa; Chordata; Mammalia; Rodentia; Cricetidae
Exons: 3
Source: RefSeq, a predicted model, not a curated record